Octodon degus (degu) is the source of this 165-nucleotide small nuclear RNA. Its record names the gene U1. It matches the Rfam family "U1 spliceosomal RNA". Rfam says of the family: U1 is a small nuclear RNA (snRNA) component of the spliceosome (involved in pre-mRNA splicing). Its 5' end forms complementary base pairs with the 5' splice junction, thus defining the 5' donor site of an intron. Lineage: Eukaryota; Metazoa; Chordata; Mammalia; Rodentia; Octodontidae. The record is from Ensembl.
AUACUUAACCUGCCCAGGGAGAUACCACCCUCGCCAAGGCGGUUUUCCCAGGGUGAGGCUUACCCAUUGCACUCCGGAUGUGCUGAUGCCGGCGGAUUUCCCUGAAUGGGGGAAACUUGACUGCAUAAUUUGUGGUAGUGGGGGCUGCGUUUGCGCUUUCCCUGA